AACAAAGCAGCACAAGUGAGCCAAGGCUGGCAGGUGACAGGGCCAACGAUUUAGAGAUUCAGAGACUGAACUAUUAGAAGAUCAACAAGGAUAAAUGUUUGCAUGAAUAACAAGGGUUUCCAGGGCAGCCUGAACACACUCCCAGGACCCAGGGACACCUGGCCCAACUCCAUGGGUUUCAUUUGCUGUGCUUGCUGCUGACCCCCAUCCUGGAGAACUCCCUGGGACUUCAGAUUUCGGGAUCUGCAGAUUGCAGAGACUUUUCAGGAGUUAGCAGCUAGAUGGACCUUAAUGGAUACUGCACCAGGAAAAAAUGCAUCUUUAGGUAAUUAACAGUGCUGCCUUAACUCCUGAGGCCAUGUGAAUGGAGCACAGAUCAAGCAGUAGGAAUCUCCUAAAUGAUCCUGCUGACAUGCCCUGACAUGCCACCCUCCCUCCCUUCCUCUCAUCUCACAUCCAUGAAAUGCAGACACUCCAUCAGCCAACACCAGUCCAGUGCCCACAGAAAGGGCACAAAAUGCCAGCAUCAAGUAUUUUGUUGUUGUUGUUGUUGUGGACUAAAUGAAUUUUCUUCUCAUUACCAAGGUGACCUGAUUCUGAAUCCUUCACGCAUGACUUCCACAGGGUUUUUACAACAGGAGAUUCCCAGACACUGGGGCAGCUGGGUGUGAGAUGGAUAAAAAGCCGCA
Molecule: long non-coding RNA, 689 nt
Organism: Passer domesticus (house sparrow)
Lineage: Eukaryota; Metazoa; Chordata; Aves; Passeriformes; Passeridae
Exons: 3
Source: RefSeq, a predicted model, not a curated record